This 446-nucleotide ribosomal RNA is filed under the name uncultured bacterium. RNAcentral's name for it is "bacterial SSU rRNA". It matches the Rfam family "Bacterial small subunit ribosomal RNA", at positions 68 to 509 of the family's 1533-position model. The record is from RNAcentral.
GGGAGCGAAGCUUGCUUUGCUUGCCGGCGACCGGCGCACGGGUGCGUAACACGUAUCCAAUCUACCCAUGGCUCGGGAAUAGCCUUUCGAAGAAAGAUUAAUGCCCGAUGGUCUCGCAUGAAGACAUCUUUUUGUCGAGUAAAGACUUGUCGGCGAUGGAUGAGGAUGCGUCCGAUUAGGUAGUAGGCGGGGUAACGGCCCACCUAGCCGACGAUCGGUAGGGGUUCUGAGAGGAAGGUCCCCACAUUGGAACUGAGACACGGUCCAAACUCCUACGGGAGGCAGCAGUGAGGAAUAUUGGUCAAUGGGCGAGAGCCUGAACCAGCCAAGUAGCGUGAGGGAAGACUGCCCUACGGGUUGUAAACCUCUUUUGUUUGGGAAUAAAGUGCCGCACGCGCUGCGGUUUUGUAUGUACCUUACGAAUAAGCAUCGGCUAAUUCCGUGCC